This 496-nucleotide ribosomal RNA is filed under the name uncultured bacterium. RNAcentral's name for it is "partial 16S ribosomal RNA". It matches the Rfam family "Bacterial small subunit ribosomal RNA", at positions 28 to 507 of the family's 1533-position model. The record is from RNAcentral.
GAUGAACGCUGGCGGCGUGCCUAAUACAUGCAAGUCGAGCGAACGGACGAGAAGCUUGCUUCUCUGAUGUUAGCGGCGGACGGGUGAGUAAACGUGGAUAACCUACCUAUAAGACUGGGAUAACUUCGGGAAACCGUAGCUAAUACCGGAUAAUAUUUUGAACCGCAUGGUUCAAAAGUGAAAGACGGUCUUGCUGUCACUUAUAGAUGGAUCCGCGCUGCAUUAGCUAGUUGGUAAGGUAACGGCUUACCAAGGCAACGAUGCAUAGCCGACCUGAGAGGGUGAUCGGCCACACUGGAACUGAGACACGGUCCAGACUCCUACGGGAGGCAGCAGUAGGGAAUCUUCCGCAAUGGGCGAAAGCCUGACGGAGCAACGCCGCGUGAGUGAUGAAGGUCUUCGGAUCGUAAAACUCUGUUAUUAGGGAAGAACAUAUGUGUAAGUAACUGUGCACAUCUUGACGGUACCUAAUCAGAAAGCCACGGCUAACUACGUG